CGCGUAGGUGGCCUUCUAAGUCGAACGUGAAAUCCCUGGGCUCAACCCAGGAACUGCGUCCGAUACUGGAAGGCUUGAAUCCGGGAGAGGGAUGCGGAAUUCCAGGUGUAGCGGUGAAAUGCGUAGAUAUCUGGAGGAACACCGGUGGCGAAGGCGGCAUCCUGGACCGGCAUUGACGCUGAGGCGCGAAAGCUAGGGAGCAAACG
Molecule: ribosomal RNA, 206 nt
Filed under: uncultured bacterium
Lineage: Bacteria
Description: partial 16S ribosomal RNA
Rfam family: Bacterial small subunit ribosomal RNA
Source: RNAcentral